GGUGGACGAACAAGAGUCAGAGUUGUUGUUCUUUCCAUCUCCUCAAUACUCAGUCUCCACUCCCAUUUGAGCCAACUCCUCCAAGAAGCCGAUAAAGAUAAUCGUAAAUGUGCACACAGAGAUGGAUGGAGAGAGAUUAAGAGAGGAAUUCUAGGACUGUCAAACUACUACCAUGUCAAAUCAUCACCCACCUUCAACCCUGCCUCUUGACACCUUCAUAUACUGCAAGAACCACUACCAGUACAGGGCUAUGGCUGCUACCGUGAUUUCAAAUAUCUCUAAUAGCAACCUCUGAGGACAACCAUCCAAAGGCAAGAUGGAAUGUGGGGUACCGCUGCAAGUGUUGCCUUGAAAAGAAAAGACUGCAGUUGAUUCAAAUGCUCCAACUACUGCUUGCAGUGCACACAAGGCUGAGACCGCUGCAAGUGUUGCCUUGAAAAGAAAAGACUGCAAUUGAUUCAAAUUCUCCAGCUACUGCUUGCAGUGCACACAAGAUUGAGACAGGGCUGAUGAAUAACUUUAUAUGUAAUAACAUUAUAACCUUAUUUCACAAAGAUCAAGGUCCUUAAUGUUUUUCUUUUAAUAUGUUUUUUUUAUUUAUUUAAAUGGAUGUAGUUUAUUUAAAGAUAUGUAAAGCAUUCUUGUGUUUGCA
Quercus lobata is the source of this 652-nucleotide long non-coding RNA. RefSeq lists it as uncharacterized. The transcript is spliced from 3 exons. Lineage: Eukaryota; Viridiplantae; Streptophyta; Magnoliopsida; Fagales; Fagaceae. The record is from RefSeq and is a predicted model, not a curated record.